CCUACGUGAGGCAGCAGUGGGGAAUAUUGCGCAAUGGGCGAAAGCCUGACGCAGCGACGCCGCGUGAGGGAUGAAGGUCUUCGGAUCGUAAACCUCUGUCAGCAGGGAAGAACGGUCACUGUGCUAAUCAGCAGUGAAUUGACGGUACCUGCAAAGGAAGCACCGGCUAACUCCGUGCCAGCAGCCGCGGUAAUACGGAGGGUGCGAGCGUUAAUCGGAAUUAAUGGGCGUAAAGCGCUCGUAGGCGGUAUGUUAAGUCCAGGGUGAAAUCCCCGGGGUCAACGGUGGAACUGCCUUUGAAACUGGCAAACUGGAGUGGUGUGGGGGGAAGUGGAAAUUCUGGUGGAGGGGUGAAAUCCGUAGAUAUCUUGAGGAACCUCAAUGGCGAAGGCGGCUAUCUUGCAAAUAACUGACGCUGAGGAGCGAAAGCGUGGGUAGCAAACAGGAUUAGAUACCCUAGUAGUC
RNAcentral lists this ribosomal RNA (465 nucleotides) under uncultured bacterium. RNAcentral's name for it is "partial 16S ribosomal RNA". It matches the Rfam family "Bacterial small subunit ribosomal RNA", at positions 338 to 795 of the family's 1533-position model. The record is from RNAcentral.